Cucurbita maxima (winter squash) is the source of this 461-nucleotide long non-coding RNA. RefSeq lists it as uncharacterized. The transcript has 2 exons. NCBI's taxonomy places the organism in Eukaryota, Viridiplantae, Streptophyta, Magnoliopsida, Cucurbitales, Cucurbitaceae. The record is from RefSeq and is a predicted model, not a curated record.
GGAGAAAACGAGUCGACUCGGAUAGCUCAAUAGAAUUUUCAGGUGUUGAACAAAGAAGUUAUAUCUUCAUAGUGAAAAUCCAUGGAGAAAAGGAGUCGACCCAAAUAGCUCAAUAGAAUUUUUGGUGUCAAACAAAGAAGUUGCAAGUCUCAAACGGAGUUGACCCGAAUAGCUCAAUAGAAUUUUCAGGUGUCGAACAAAGAAGUUGUGAGUCUCGAGGUAUCUUCAUAGUAAAGAUCCAUGGAAAAAAAGAGUUGACCCGAAUAGUACUAACUAUUUAGGAAGAAACUCAACGUUACUUUAUCCGAGAUGGAUAUUAUUAAAGGCUCACAUUGGCUAAUUAAGAGAAAAAUGAAGAUCGAGAACAUAUAAGUAAGCGUAAAGCCACGAAAACUUAUGCUAAACAUAAGGAUAAAGCAUGAUUUGUUGUAAAAAUGGGGUUUUUAUUAGAACACAAAAAA